Molecule: long non-coding RNA, 348 nt
Filed under: Panax ginseng (ginseng)
Lineage: Eukaryota; Viridiplantae; Streptophyta; Magnoliopsida; Apiales; Araliaceae
Description: long non-coding RNA (PGIN_LNC017239)
Source: RNAcentral
UCUCGGCAGUUCUUAACAUGCUCAACAACUCAGUAAGGGGUUUCUCAAUUUCAUUCAUAAGAUAGUUCAUAACAAAUUGAGAGUAGCUGCUGUUCAAAGAUUGCAAAACAAGGUCAGUUUGGGCCUCCGGAGUAAUUGAAAAACCCAACCUAUCAAGGUACUCAAUAUACCGAAUCAUUUUCAGCACAUGUGGACCAACUGGAUCACGUUCACCCAUUUUGCAGUGAUACAACGCCUUGCUUGUAUCAUACCUCUCCUGUCGAGCAUGCCCUUCGAACAAUUUCUUGAGAUGCUCGAUCAUCUCAUAAGCAUCCAUCAACUCAUGUUGCUUCUGAAGCUCAGCGUUCA